UUGCCAGAAAUUAUGUUUUCACUAAUCAAGCCAAGUUGACAAAAAAAUAUAAAAUAAAAAUCACACAGAACCAACCAUAAGGACAAAAUACAAAUGCAGAAACAAGAUGUUGGAUUAAGUGUGCCAUUUUCCAAUUCCCAUAAACGUUUAUACCAUUUGAGAGACGCUUAAUUUUUCAAAAUAGCCUGGAGGUUGCACCUGCA
Molecule: long non-coding RNA, 203 nt
Organism: Sphaeramia orbicularis (orbiculate cardinalfish)
Lineage: Eukaryota; Metazoa; Chordata; Actinopteri; Kurtiformes; Apogonidae
Exons: 3
Source: RefSeq, a predicted model, not a curated record